UACGUAGGGGGCAAGCGUUGUCCGGAAUUAUUGGGCGUAAAGCGCGUGUAGGCGGCCAGAUAAGUCCGCUGUGAAAUCUCGAGGCUCAACUUCGAGCUGUCGGUGGAAACUGUCUGGCUAGAGUCCGGAAGAGGAGAAUGGAAUUCCUGGUGUAGCGGUGAAAUGCGCAGAUAUCAGGAAGAACACCCGUGGCGAAGGCGGUUCUCUGGGACGGUACUGACGCUGAGACGCGAAAGCGUGGGUAGCAAACAGG
Molecule: ribosomal RNA, 253 nt
Filed under: uncultured bacterium
Lineage: Bacteria
Description: partial 16S ribosomal RNA
Rfam family: Bacterial small subunit ribosomal RNA
Source: RNAcentral